RNAcentral lists this long non-coding RNA (294 nucleotides) under Spirodela polyrhiza (greater duckweed). Its description in RNAcentral is "long non-coding RNA (SPOL_LNC002028)". Lineage: Eukaryota; Viridiplantae; Streptophyta; Magnoliopsida; Alismatales; Araceae. The record is from RNAcentral.
UUUAUUAGUUCCACAAUAUCCUUGUUUCUAAUUGUUCAAUUUUGCCUGAUGGUAUACCUCCUUUUAUCUAUUCGAUUAGCCCAGCAUUGUGGUUGCUUUUAAUUAUUUGAUCAGCAGACGAUGUGGCUGUUUAUUCAACCAUUUGGUUAGCCCGAUAGUGCAACUGUUUUAAUUCUUAGAUUAGCCCGACGGUGCGCAUAUUAUCAAUUAUCUGAUUAGCCCCAAAGUAUGUAACUUUUCAACUUUAGAAUUAACACGACAAUGUGGCUGUUUUCGAUUAUUCUAUUACUUAGC